Molecule: long non-coding RNA, 556 nt
Organism: Molossus molossus (Pallas's mastiff bat)
Lineage: Eukaryota; Metazoa; Chordata; Mammalia; Chiroptera; Molossidae
Exons: 3
Source: RefSeq, a predicted model, not a curated record
GGGAAGAGGAUCAGCCCAGCAAGUCAGGCAGCUCCCGCCUGCUUCUCUGCCCCAGGGCACGGGCAACCCAAACAGUCCUCUCUCCAGCCCGGUGAUGUGAGUAGACAGGUCACUGACCGACCAGUUCUCAUAAUCUGGUACUUACUUCCGAGAGCGCACUGGCCCUGAGGACUGCGGAGGAAGCUGGACAUGUCAGAAAAGACUGGAAUGUCGAGAACAAAGAGAAUGAUCAACUGAAGAUCGUGAACCUGAAGCCGUGACCUGUUUCUUCUUUGUGAUGGAAAACUGGAACCUGGAACACAGGUUCAAUAUUCACUUGCUACUGAAAACCAGUGCUAGACUAUUCCACAGAUGCUCAGGCCAAUCUGAGAAAGAACAUCAUGCGGAGUGAGAAACCUGAGCAAGUUCCACAGAGCGUGACAUUCUUCCCCAUCCCUACAACACCUGCCUUUGACAUCAGAAGAGGGUAAAACCACGUGCAAAGCGUGCCUAUCAUAGGCUACUUCCUAGUUCUCUAGAAGAAAAAGUCAAUAAGAGGACAAGAAGGAAAGAGUAC